This 239-nucleotide ribosomal RNA is filed under the name uncultured Smithella sp. RNAcentral describes it as "partial 16S ribosomal RNA". It matches the Rfam family "Bacterial small subunit ribosomal RNA", at positions 1143 to 1382 of the family's 1533-position model. Lineage: Bacteria; Pseudomonadati; Thermodesulfobacteriota; Syntrophia; Syntrophales; Smithellaceae. The record is from RNAcentral.
AAGAGACUGCCGGUGUUAAACCGGAGGAAGUGGGGAUGACGUCAAGUCCUCAUGGCCUUUAUGCCCAGGGCUACACACGUGCUACAAUGGGUGGCACAAAGAGAUGCAAUCUCGCAAGAGCAAGCAAACCUCAAAAAGCCAUCCUCAGUUCGGAUUGGAGUCUGCAACUCGACUCCAUGAAGUCGGAAUCGCUAGUAAUCGCGGAUCAGCACGCCGCGGUGAAUACGUUCCCGGGCCUU